UACGUAGGUUGCGAGCGUUAUUAGGAUUUACUGGGCGUAAAGAGCACCGAGGUGGCUUCUUAAGUUGGAUGUGAAAUCUCCUGGCUUAACCGGGAGGCGCCAUUCAAAACUGGGGAGCUUGAGGUCAGCAGGGGAAGGUGGAAUUCCCGGUGUAGUGGUGGAAUGCGUAGAGAUCGGGAGGAACACCAGUGGCGAAAGCGACCUUCUGGGCUGCACCUGACACUCUAGUGCGAAAGCGUGGGGAGCAAACAGG
This 253-nucleotide ribosomal RNA is filed under the name uncultured bacterium. RNAcentral's name for it is "partial 16S ribosomal RNA". It matches the Rfam family "Bacterial small subunit ribosomal RNA", at positions 524 to 776 of the family's 1533-position model. The record is from RNAcentral.